RNAcentral lists this transfer RNA (74 nucleotides) under Echinops telfairi (small Madagascar hedgehog). Its description in RNAcentral is "tRNA-Val (CAC) (tRNA-Val-CAC-4-1)". It matches the Rfam family "tRNA". From Rfam's summary of the family: Transfer RNA (tRNA) molecules are approximately 80 nucleotides in length. Their secondary structure includes four short double-helical elements and three loops (D, anti-codon, and T loops). Further hydrogen bonds mediate the characteristic L-shaped molecular structure. tRNAs have two regions of fundamental functional importance: the anti-codon, which is responsible for specific mRNA codon recognition, and the 3' end, to which the tRNAs corresponding amino acid is attached (by aminoacyl-tRNA synthetases). tRNAs cope with the degeneracy of the genetic code in two manners: having more than one tRNA (with a specific anti-codon) for a particular amino acid; and 'wobble' base-pairing, i.e. permitting non-standard base-pairing at the 3rd anti-codon position. The record is from RNAcentral. Lineage: Eukaryota; Metazoa; Chordata; Mammalia; Afrosoricida; Tenrecidae.
GUUUCUGUAGUGUAGUGGUUAUCAUGUUCAUCUCACACACAAAAGUUUCCUGGUUCAAAACCAGGCGGAAAACA